ACCGGUUUAUUCUGAAGCACCAGU
This 24-nucleotide microRNA is filed under the name Brachypodium distachyon (stiff brome). Its description in RNAcentral is "bdi-miR7775-5p". Lineage: Eukaryota; Viridiplantae; Streptophyta; Magnoliopsida; Poales; Poaceae. The record is from miRBase by way of RNAcentral.